This 253-nucleotide ribosomal RNA is filed under the name uncultured bacterium. Its description in RNAcentral is "partial 16S ribosomal RNA". It matches the Rfam family "Bacterial small subunit ribosomal RNA", at positions 524 to 776 of the family's 1533-position model. The record is from RNAcentral.
UACGUAGGGCGCGAGCGUUGUCCGGAUUUAUUGGGCGUAAAGAGCUCGUAGGCGGCUUGUCGCGUCGACUGUGAAAACCCGCGGCUCAACUGCGGGCCUGCAGCCGAUACGGGCAGGCUAGAGUUCGGUAGGGGAGACUGGAAUUCCUGGUGUAGCGGUGAAAUGCGUAGAUAUUUGGAGGAACACCGGUGGCGAAAGCGACUUUCUGGGCCAUUUCUGACGCUGAGGAACGAAAGCGUGGGGAGCAAACAGG